This 481-nucleotide ribosomal RNA is filed under the name uncultured bacterium. RNAcentral's name for it is "partial 16S ribosomal RNA". It matches the Rfam family "Bacterial small subunit ribosomal RNA", at positions 29 to 507 of the family's 1533-position model. The record is from RNAcentral.
AUUGAACGCUGGCGGCAUGCCUUACACAUGCAAGUCGAACGGUAACGCGGGGCAACCUGGCGACGAGUGGCGAACGGGUGAGUAAUGCAUCGGAACGUGCCCAGAAGUGGGGGAUAGCCCGGCGAAAGCCGGAUUAAUACCGCAUGAGACCUGAGGUGAAAGCGGGGGGUCGCCAGACCUCGCGCUUUUUGGGCGGGCGAUGUCAGAUUAGCUAGUUGGUGGGGUAAAGGCCUACCAAGGCGACGAUCUGUAGCUGGUCUGAGAGGACGACCAGCCACACUGGGACUGAGACACGGCCCAGACUCCUACGGGAGGCAGCAGUGGGGAAUUUUGGACAAUGGGCGCAAGCCUGAUCCAGCCAUGCCGCGUGCGGGAAGAAGGCCUUCGGGUUGUAAACCGCUUUUGUCAGGGAAGAAACGCUCUGGGCUAAUACCCUGGGGUAAUGACGGUACCUGAAGAAUAAGCACCGGCUAACUACGUG